Molecule: ribosomal RNA, 492 nt
Filed under: uncultured bacterium
Lineage: Bacteria
Description: partial 16S ribosomal RNA
Rfam family: Bacterial small subunit ribosomal RNA
Source: RNAcentral
AGUGAACGCUGGCGGUAGGCCUAGCACAUGCAAGUCGGACGGCAGCACAGUAAGAGCUUGCUCUUACGGGUGGCGAGUGGCGGACGGGUGAGGAAUACAUCGGAAUCUACUUUUUCGUGGGGGAUAACGUAGGGAAACUUACGCUAAUACCGCAUACGACCUACGGGUGAAAGCAGGGGAUCUUCGGACCUUGCGCGAUUGAAUGAGCCGAUGUCGGAUUAGCUAGUUGGCGGGGUAAAGGCCCACCAAGGCGACGAUCCGUAGCUGGUCUGAGAGAAUGAUCAGCCACACUAGAACUGAGACACGGUCCAGACUCCUACGGGAGGCAGCAGUGGGGAAUAUUGGAAAAUGGGCGCAAGCCUGAUCCAGCCAUGCCGCGUGGGUGAAGAAGGCCUUCGGGUUGUAAAGCCCUUUUGUUGGGAAAGAAAAGCAGCAGGUUAAUACCCCGCUGUUCUGACGGUACCCGAAGAAUAGGCACAGGAUAACUUCGUG